GGUGGCUCAGUGGUAGAGUACUUGCCUCAUAUGCAUAAAGCCCUGGGUUCGAUUCCUCAGCACCA
RNAcentral lists this transfer RNA (65 nucleotides) under Dipodomys ordii (Ord's kangaroo rat). It matches the Rfam family "tRNA". Rfam says of the family: Transfer RNA (tRNA) molecules are approximately 80 nucleotides in length. The record is from Rfam by way of RNAcentral. Lineage: Eukaryota; Metazoa; Chordata; Mammalia; Rodentia; Heteromyidae.